Molecule: ribosomal RNA, 496 nt
Filed under: uncultured bacterium
Lineage: Bacteria
Description: partial 16S ribosomal RNA
Rfam family: Bacterial small subunit ribosomal RNA
Source: RNAcentral
GAUGAACGCUGGCGGCGUGCCUAAUACAUGCAAGUCGAGCGAACAGAUGAGGAGCUUGCUCCUCUGACGUUAGCGGCGGACGGGUGAGUAACACGUGGAUAACCUACCUAUAAGACUGGGAUAACUUCGGGAAACCGGAGCUAAUACCGGAUAAUAUAUUGAACCGCAUGGUUCAAUAGUGAAAGACGGUUUUGCUGUCACUUAUAGAUGGAUCCGCGCCGCAUUAGCUAGUUGGUAAGGUAACGGCUUACCAAGGCAACGAUGCGUAGCCGACCUGAGAGGGUGAUCGGCCACACUGGAACUGAGACACGGUCCAGACUCCUACGGGAGGCAGCAGUAGGGAAUCUUCCGCAGUGGGCGAAAGCCUGACGGAGCAACGCCGCGUGAGUGAUGAAGGUCUUCGGAUCGUAAAACUCUGUUAUUAGGGAAGAACAAAUGUGUAAGUAACUAUGCACGUCUUGACGGUACCUAUCAGAAAGCCACGGCUAACUACGUG